UGGGGAAUAUUGCGCAAUGGGGGGAACCCUGACGCAUCCAUGCCGCGUGAAUGAAGAAGGCCUUAGGGUUGUAAAGUUCUUUCGGUAUUGAGGAAGGUUGAUGUGUUAAUAGCACAUCAAAUUGACGUUAAAUACAGAAUAACCACCGGCUAACUCCGUGCCAUCACCCGCGGUAAUACUGAGGGUGCGAGCGUUAAUCGGAAUAACUGGGCGUAAAGGGCACGCAGGCGGUUAUUUAAGUGAGGUGUGAAAGCCCCGGGCUUAACCUGGGAAUUGCAUUUCAACUGGGUAACUAGAGUACUUUAGGGAGGGGUAGAAUUCCACGUGUAGCGGUGAAAUGCGUAGAGAUGUGGAGGAAUACCGAAGGCGAAGGCAGCCCCUUGGGAAUGUACUGACGCUCAUGUGCGAAAGCGUGGGGAGCAAACAGGAUUAAAUACCCUGGUAGUCCACGCUGUAAACGCUGUCGAUUUAAGGGUUGGGGUUUAACUCUGGCGCCCGUACUACGUGAUAAAUCGACCGCCUGGGGAGUACGGCCGCAAGGUU
This 543-nucleotide ribosomal RNA is filed under the name uncultured bacterium. Its description in RNAcentral is "bacterial SSU rRNA". It matches the Rfam family "Bacterial small subunit ribosomal RNA", at positions 355 to 895 of the family's 1533-position model. The record is from RNAcentral.